This 72-nucleotide transfer RNA is filed under the name Sus scrofa (pig). It matches the Rfam family "tRNA". From Rfam's summary of the family: Transfer RNA (tRNA) molecules are approximately 80 nucleotides in length. Their secondary structure includes four short double-helical elements and three loops (D, anti-codon, and T loops). Further hydrogen bonds mediate the characteristic L-shaped molecular structure. tRNAs have two regions of fundamental functional importance: the anti-codon, which is responsible for specific mRNA codon recognition, and the 3' end, to which the tRNAs corresponding amino acid is attached (by aminoacyl-tRNA synthetases). tRNAs cope with the degeneracy of the genetic code in two manners: having more than one tRNA (with a specific anti-codon) for a particular amino acid; and 'wobble' base-pairing, i.e. permitting non-standard base-pairing at the 3rd anti-codon position. The record is from Rfam by way of RNAcentral. Lineage: Eukaryota; Metazoa; Chordata; Mammalia; Artiodactyla; Suidae.
UCCUUGGUGAUCUAGUGGUUAGGAUUUGCCACUUUCUCUGUUGUGGCCCAGGUUCGAUUCCUUGCCUGGGAA